Non-coding RNA from Malus domestica (apple), 699 nucleotides. The record is from RefSeq and is a predicted model, not a curated record. NCBI's taxonomy places the organism in Eukaryota, Viridiplantae, Streptophyta, Magnoliopsida, Rosales, Rosaceae.
CCAUAACCGUAACCGUUUAAUUUAAAUGGGCGGGUAACCGCGGUUACCCAUAACCAAUGGGUAUUUGCCCAUCCCUACUCCCAAUGAAGAGCUGUUUGUGACAUAGCUGGAGCCACCAUCAUUAUUGUGAACACAGUGUUCUCUCUUCUAGCCGUUGAUUAUCCGACUCACAAGCUAGCUUGGUAUGUAUCAGAUGAUGGGUGUUCACCUCUCACUUUCUAUUCUCUCAUUGAAGCCUCGGCGUUUGCUAAGUGUUGGGUGCCCUUUUGCAAAGAGUACCUUGUUCAAGUUAGAGCACAUUUCAGAUACUUCUCUGACAAUCCCAUUUUGUCAAGUUAUAGUCCAUGAGGACUCCUUAAAGAAUGGACAAAAAAUGAAGGGCGUGCUAACUCGUCGGCCAAGCUCGGCCAGGGAGUAAAAUGUGUUGAUGUCGCGUUGGGCGCAUUGCUGACUUCUUGAUCUUGCGACUGCGGCCGAGGAAGGAACACGUCUCGGCCUUUGGGUUCUAGAGCCUAAAGACAAGGUUACUGGUCUUGCGAAGUUCACAGAUCGUCGGCACCGGGUGCAGUCACGGUGAUUAUAUUCGUAAGAGUAUAAGCACGCCGAACUGGCACCAAAUUAUACGGAUAUAAGUACUCAAAUGAGAUGUAUGUCUUGAUGGUAAAUGUGGUUCGGCCGUCAGAAUGCCGAAUUCUAAAA